AUGAACCUUGCCGAUAAUCAUCUGUCGGAAACCAUCCCUGAAGAGCUGGGUAAGCUUCCAAACCUCCGUACACUGAAUCUUGCCGGCAACAGUCUUCAAGGUAACAUCCCCAUUUCCUUAGGCGCUACCGGUUCUCUUAGCUAUGUCAAUCUUGCAAACAACACGCUUACCGGUAGUAUCCCUCUCUCAUUGGCCGGUACCUCCACACUCAGCACACUUAUACUGUCACGUAAUAGCCUCUCUGGAGAGAUCCCUUCUACUUUGUUUGAUAACUCAUCUGAGCUUACUGUGGUUGAUCUCCAGAUGAAUUCUUUGACUGGAGCCAUCCCACCUUUCCAUGAAGCCACAACUCUCAGAUUUCUUUGCCUGACAGGAAACUUCCUCUCUGGAAGCAUACCUCCUUCAUUAGGAAAUGUUUGA
This 420-nucleotide ribosomal RNA is filed under the name Triticum aestivum (bread wheat). Its description in RNAcentral is "partial small subunit ribosomal RNA". Lineage: Eukaryota; Viridiplantae; Streptophyta; Magnoliopsida; Poales; Poaceae. The record is from RNAcentral.